This is a long non-coding RNA of Centruroides sculpturatus (bark scorpion), 681 nucleotides long. RefSeq lists it as uncharacterized. The transcript has 3 exons. Lineage: Eukaryota; Metazoa; Arthropoda; Arachnida; Scorpiones; Buthidae. The record is from RefSeq and is a predicted model, not a curated record.
UAUUAGGAUUUCAUGAAUGGUACUAGGAAAAUGGUGUUGGGUAUCUUGGUACUGGGACAAGUAAAAAGGUACUAGAUUAGUGCAAAAGUACUAGGUAAAACAACAUCUGGUACAAAAGUAGCCAACUGCUCCAGCAAUUGGCUACUUUUGGGCUACUUUUUAAAAAUUAUUUGGCUACAAGGACAAAAAACAUCUGGCAACGCUGAUUUGUACUGCGUGUACUGUACAAGGAGACGUUUUUGGGUAACAUAAACUUUUGAAUUUAUUAUCUCUCUCAAUAAUUAGAAUGGCCAGAUGAUGUUAUUUGCGCUGUGUAUUGCUGUUUUAAUUAUAAGAUACAAAGUGAUCGCAAGUCGUUUUACGGAUUCCCUAAAAACAAACAAGUAUGCACUCAAUGGGUUAUUAAGAGCAGAAGGACCGAUUUACACGAGAUUUUGAAAGCAAAAGGGCCAGAGUAUUUAAAUAGAAAUUAUGUCGUGUGUUCCCACCAUCUUACAGAAAAAGAUUUUAGAAACAAAAAUCUCUUAAAUCAAGGGAUCUGGCCUGGUACAGUAACCUCACUAUUAAUUAAUUAAUUAAUUUAUAAUGCCAAACAGACUACGAUGAGAAGCAGCCCCAAAAAACAAAAAUAGAACAUUCACAUGUAGAAAUGUCAUAUUUCAUGUUUUUGAUACACAUGAU